RNAcentral lists this ribosomal RNA (546 nucleotides) under Penicillium glabrum. RNAcentral's name for it is "eukaryotic LSU rRNA". The stretch from base 180 to 333 matches the Rfam family "5.8S ribosomal RNA". Lineage: Eukaryota; Fungi; Ascomycota; Eurotiomycetes; Eurotiales; Aspergillaceae. The record is from RNAcentral.
UCAUUACUGAGUGAGGGCCCUCUGGGUCCAACCUCCCACCCGUGUUUAUUGUACCUUGUUGCUUCGGUGCGCCCGCCUCACGGCCGCCGGGGGGCUUCUGCCCCCGGGUCCGCGCGCACCGGAGACACUAUUGAACUCUGUCUGAAGAUUGCAGUCUGAGCAUAAACUAAAUAAGUUAAAACUUUCAACAACGGAUCUCUUGGUUCCGGCAUCGAUGAAGAACGCAGCGAAAUGCGAUAACUAAUGUGAAUUGCAGAAUUCAGUGAAUCAUCGAGUCUUUGAACGCACAUUGCGCCCCCUGGUAUUCCGGGGGGCAUGCCUGUCCGAGCGUCAUUGCUGCCCUCAAGCACGGCUUGUGUGUUGGGCUCCGUCCCCCCGGGGACGGGUCCGAAAGGCAGCGGCGGCACCGAGUCCGGUCCUCGAGCGUAUGGGGCUUUGUCACCCGCUCUGUAGGCCCGGCCGGCGCCAGCCGACAACCAAUCAUCCUUUUUUCAGGUUGACCUCGGAUCAGGUAGGGAUACCCGCUGAACUUAAGCAUAUCAAUAA